CUACGGGGGGCAGCAGUGGGGAAUAUUGGGCAAUGGGCGCAAGCCUGACCCAGCAACGCCGCGUGAGGGAGAAGGUUUUCGGAUUGUAAACCUCUGUCCUUGGGGACGAAGAAGUGACGGUACCCAAGGAGGAAGCUCCGGCUAACUACGUGCCAGCAGCCGCGGUAAUACGUAGGGAGCAAGCGUUGUCCGGAAUUACUGGGCGUAAAGGGUGCGUAGGCGGCAUAUUAAGUCAGGUGUGAAAUACUCGGGCUCAACCCGGGGGCUGCAUUUGAAACUGAUAUGCUUGAGUGUGAGAGAGGAAAGUGGAAUUCCUAGUGUAGCGGUGGAAUGCGUAGAUAUUAGGAGGAACACCAGUGGCGAAGGCGACUUUCUGGCUCAUAACUGACGCUGAGGCACGAAAGCGUGGGGAGCAAACAGGAUUAGAUACCCCGGUAGUC
This 440-nucleotide ribosomal RNA is filed under the name uncultured bacterium. RNAcentral describes it as "partial 16S ribosomal RNA". It matches the Rfam family "Bacterial small subunit ribosomal RNA", at positions 339 to 795 of the family's 1533-position model. The record is from RNAcentral.